GAGCGACUGCAAAGAGUUCACUGAAAAAAAAACACCUCUGUGAUCCCUGUCUGUACCACAGAUGCAAAUAUUUCCUUCUUAGACAAGGUAUCAUUUCAUAGGCUUGCCUGGUUUAAUGCACACUUCUUUGCCUCAGGUAAGAUUUCUUUCAUCUCUGCUGCCCUUCGGUGACUUGUUGCACCUGAUGUCCUCUCCUAAGCAUGUGCUUUUCUGCAAACAAAGAAGAGAAUCAUGGAUGCAAAUUCUGCUAACAACAGUUCAACCACAGCUGCCUUAGCCUGCAGCUUUUCCUUGUGUCCUUGUGAACAGCUCAAACUUCCACUAAAACUGACAAAAGCAGCAAUGAAGAAAAGAGGGGCAGACACAAGACUAGAGCUGAUGGCACAGGAGUAUUAGGGGGGGUCACAGAAAUAGCCCUGGCAGGUGCCAUACUGGGCUGAGACUAAUGUCAACAGAAGCAAAAGAAGUUCUUAAAUGUGAAGCAAGAUUUCUGCAGGUCGAGAAGCAUGGCGGAGAAGAGUAAAAAUGUGGCUCUACAUAGAAAAAAGUGUGAAUCAGCAAUGAAGAAGAGAAAGGGAAGUGGCAAGCAAAAGGAACAAAGAAAAGGACAGCAUCUGCUAUGAUAAAGAAUGAUCUGGUGAGAAACAUUAUUAAGUGAUAGAAAAGAUUAUGGUCUCAAAAAGGAACAGGAAAAAAAAAAAUAAACCAAGCCCAAGCACAAAUGUACACCAAAAAGAGAACGUUCCCUUAGGAGGUCUGAAAUAUCCUCCAGACACAGGCACAAAAAGCCUGAUGUCUGGAGCCCACUCACUGCUGCAGGCAGAAAGCUCUCCAAUUACAGUCCCCACCAUUAGAAAAGAAUCAUCUUGAAACAAAACCAUACCAAGGUCCUUUAAUUACAUUAAACUAAAACACACAGUACAAGCCAUACCAUAAAUUUCACUACUAAUGUUCAAAUAAAUAUUAUAUUGUUUUGGAAUGCAUUUUUGAAGUUUCUUUUUUCUUUUUUAUAUCAAAUUAUAAUGGUCCUUUGUUAAGAUUGGAGCCUGAGUAAUGAAUAUUUGCCUUCCAGACAUCAUCU
This is a long non-coding RNA of Passer domesticus (house sparrow), 1081 nucleotides long. RefSeq lists it as uncharacterized. The transcript has 3 exons. The record is from RefSeq and is a predicted model, not a curated record. Lineage: Eukaryota; Metazoa; Chordata; Aves; Passeriformes; Passeridae.